Molecule: transfer RNA, 69 nt
Filed under: Ictidomys tridecemlineatus (thirteen-lined ground squirrel)
Lineage: Eukaryota; Metazoa; Chordata; Mammalia; Rodentia; Sciuridae
Also listed under: 1 other name
Description: Spermophilus tridecemlineatus (thirteen-lined ground squirrel) tRNA
Rfam family: tRNA
About the family: Transfer RNA (tRNA) molecules are approximately 80 nucleotides in length. Their secondary structure includes four short double-helical elements and three loops (D, anti-codon, and T loops).
Source: Rfam by way of RNAcentral
GGGGCUGUAGCUCAGUGGUAGAGCACUUGCCUUGCAUGUGUGAGGCACUGGGUUUGAUCCUCAGCACCA